RNAcentral lists this unclassified non-coding RNA (321 nucleotides) under Muntiacus vaginalis. RNAcentral's name for it is "partial telomerase RNA". It matches the Rfam family "Vertebrate telomerase RNA", at positions 80 to 414 of the family's 443-position model. From Rfam's summary of the family: Telomerase is a ribonucleoprotein reverse transcriptase that synthesises telomeric DNA. Telomerase RNAs differ greatly in sequence and structure between vertebrates, ciliates and yeasts, but they share a 5' pseudoknot structure close to the template sequence. Vertebrate telomerase RNAs have a 3' H/ACA snoRNA-like domain. The record is from RNAcentral. Lineage: Eukaryota; Metazoa; Chordata; Mammalia; Artiodactyla; Cervidae.
CGCUGUUUUUCUCGCUGACUUUCAGCGGGCGGAAAAGCCUCGGCCUACCGCCAGACACCAUCCAGUGUGGAACAAACAAAAAAUGUCAGCCGCUGGCUCGCUCACCUCUCCCGGGAACCUGCGGUGGCCCGCCCGCCCAGCCCCAGCGCCCCGCCUGAGGCCGCGGUCGGCCCGGGGCUUCUCCGGAGGUGCCCAUUGCCGCCGUGAAGAGUUGGGCUCUGUCAGCCGCGGGUCGCUCGGUGGGCCGAGGCAUGGCUGUAACCGCAGGGAAAGGAACGGAGCGGGGUCCCCGCGCGCGGUGCGCUUCCCUGAGCUGUGGGA